RNAcentral lists this ribosomal RNA (253 nucleotides) under uncultured bacterium. Its description in RNAcentral is "partial 16S ribosomal RNA". It matches the Rfam family "Bacterial small subunit ribosomal RNA", at positions 524 to 776 of the family's 1533-position model. The record is from RNAcentral.
UACAUGGGGUGCAAACGUUGCUCGGAAUUAUUGGGCGUAAAGCGCACGUAGGCGGUUCGUUAAGUCGGAUGUGAAAGCCCUCGGCUCAACUGAGGAAGUGCACCCGAAACUGGCGAGCUUGAGUACGAAAGAGGAACGCGGAAUUCCCGGUGUAGAGGUGAAAUUCGUAGAUAUCGGGAGGAACACCGGUGGCGAAGGCGGCGAUCUGGGUCGAUACUGACGCUGAGGUGCGAAAGCGUGGGGAGCAAACAGG